Molecule: ribosomal RNA, 460 nt
Filed under: uncultured bacterium
Lineage: Bacteria
Description: partial 16S ribosomal RNA
Rfam family: Bacterial small subunit ribosomal RNA
Source: RNAcentral
CCUACGGGAGGCAGCAGUGAGGAAUAUUGGUCAAUGGGCGGAAGCCUGAACCAGCCAAGUCGCGUGAGGGAAUAAGGCCCUACGGGUUGUAAACCUCUUUUGCCGGGGAGCAAGCGCGGGGACGUGUCCCGGCGUGGAGAGUACCCGGAGAAAAAGCAUCGGCUAACUCCGUGCCAGCAGCCGCGGUAAUACGGAGGAUGCGAGCGUUAUCCGGAUUUAUUGGGUUUAAAGGGUGCGUAGGCGGGCUUUCGAGUCAGCGGUAAAAAUUCGGGGCUCAACCCCGUCCGGCCGUUGAAACUGGCGGCCUUGAGUGGGCGAGAAGAAUGCGGAAUGCGUGGUGUAGCGGUGAAAUGCAUAGAUAUCACGCAGAACCCCGAUUGCGAAGGCAGCCUUCCGGCGCCCUACUGACGCUGAGGCACGAAAGUGCGGGUAUCGAACAGGAUUAGAUACCCUUGUAGUC